AUUGAACGCUGGCGGCAGGCCUAACACAUGCAAGUCGAACGAGUGGCGGACGGGUGAGUACUGUCUGGGAAACUGCCUGAUGGAGGGGGAUAACUACUGGAAACGGUAGCUAAUACCGCAUACCAUCGGAUGUGCCCAGAUGGGAUUAGCUAGUAGGGGGGGUAACGGCUCACCUGGGCGACGAUCCCUAGCUGGUCUGAGAGGAUGACCAGCCAAACUGGACCUGAGACACGGUCCAGACUCCUACGCGAGGCAGCAGUGGGGAAUAUUGUAAAAGGGGCGAAAGCCUGAUGCAGGCAUGCAGCGUGUAUGAAGAAGGCCUUCGGGUUGUAAAGUACUUUCAGCGGGGAGGCGUUACCCGCAGAAGAAGCACCGGCUAACUCCGUGCCAGCCGCCGCGGUAAUUC
This 406-nucleotide ribosomal RNA is filed under the name uncultured bacterium. Its description in RNAcentral is "partial 16S ribosomal RNA". It matches the Rfam family "Bacterial small subunit ribosomal RNA", at positions 30 to 526 of the family's 1533-position model. The record is from RNAcentral.